GGACCGCAGAGCCAGAAGAGAGGAGUCGCCGUAGGCCCUGCUGAAGCCGGCCAUUGGCAGGGCCUGCAGACUGGCGUGGGUGUGGGACGCUGUAACCCCUGGACGUUGGGGUCGCGGGAAGGGUUUGGCGGUGUGCGGAGAAGUAAGAUUCUGAUUCAGAAGAUCUGGUGUGAAGCUCUAGAACCUGAACGUCUGACAAUGUCCCAAGUGAUGCCAACACUGCAGAUCCCUGGACUUCACUUUGAGUAGCAAUGCUGUAGUAUAUUGUAAUAUACACAUCACCAGAAAGCCUAUAAAAGAAUGCACAGGAAAAUGAACCUCUAAACCUGUACUAAUGCUAUAGGAUCAUUCAGUCAAGGUGAAGCAACAAUCUUGUACCCAUGAGUACAGAAACCAAACAUUAAGGAUGGAGAAGUUGGAAAUGAAAAGGAGAUUGAGUUCUUAACUUUUUUUUUAAGUAGCUAGAGCUGCUAUUUACUGUCUGUUUAUGGACUUCAUGUUAUACAAGAAAAAAAACCUCUAUUUGCUUAAGCCACUGAGGUCAGUCUCUUCUGUUAUAUGCAGCUGAACACAACACAGACUAAUGGGUCUACAUCUCUGAUGCCUUUUGGUCUUUAGUCUGUGAUUACAGCAGAAAUAGCCCUCCUCCCACAGAAUUUACAUUAAUUUAGGACUGUCUUUUUUCCAUAUUCCAUGGUAUAUCUGGUAUAUCUGGUAGGGACCAACUAGGAGACAAAACCAUUUUAGUAAUUUGACAAAGAAAAUUUAAUGUAAAGAUUGUUAACCAAUAAAAGGUAUCUACUAAGAAGGAUAGAGUGGAUUCUAAGGGGUGCAGAAGUAGCAACUGUCGGAAUAGCUACUACCCUUGGCUAAGGAAGAGUGAACAGAGAGGAAGAAUUUGGAAAUUUAGAGGAGAGGGCAUGGCUGUCACAGGAACUUAUAGUCAACUUGUGGUGAAGGAACUUGCUGGAGGUACCAGCCACAAAUAAACCAGGAAGACUGCUGAGGUGCACAUAACCAGGCCUCUCUUGCAAACCAACCGAUGGGCUCCACACCAGAAGAAAGAAAAGUUGGUUCCUCCAGCUCUGGCCUCACAGAGUCUUUCCAUAGCCCUCUCCUGGCAAUGCCUAACAUUUUGCCAGUUGUCAAAGCAGAAAUGCCGGCAGGGUCCAGCUCUAGAAUAACGAAGCAAGGCAAAGAAGGAUGGAUUUGUAGCUGAGAAGCCAUAAGUUAAUAACUGGCACAGAUGGUAAGAUUCUCAAGGGCAAGGAUAAGGUCUAAUUCUAUUUAUGUCUUCUACAGCACCUAACAGAGUUAAACAUAGUAGUCACUCAAUACAUUUUUGCUCAAUAAUAUAUAAGGGGCUUAGUAUAUACAAAGUAAUUUGAAAUAAUUUUUUUGUUCUUCUCUUUUGACUAAGAUAUUAGUUUCUUUGGACAAGUUAGAAUGACCUCUAGAAUGCCUUUUCUUUCUAGUAUUGCAGAAUUCAAACUAAGAGAAACAGGAACAUUUUUCGGUUUGUGACAUGGGUUUGUUCAAACAUUUUUAUGUGUUUAUGAAGGACUCUGAGUUUAUACUCUCAUGUGCUUAAUGAAUUCAUUGAAAAACCAAAACAUUAGCACCCUUUAUUGAUCCAUUCUUUUGAGACAACAUAAUAUUGGCAGGAAUGGUUCAUAAACUGAAGCAGCCUCAAGUUGGAGUUGUGAAGUAGGCAAUGUCCAUCUGCAGUUCCUUUUUCACUUCUUUUUUCAAUGCCUUUGGUCCAUCCCGAGCCACUUGUUCUUUCUGCAGGCACCUGCUAUCUUCAUGGUGACUAUUGACUAUGCAAGUUUCUCCACGGUGGCACCUACUGAAGCCAUCUCUCUCCCGGCAGAGUCCAGCUUCUGAACUCUUACCCAUGUAAAAUAUUCAUCUCUUAGUGCUUGCUUCAGCAGCACAUAUACCAGCGUUAUAAUGAUAGAGAAGAUUAACAUGGUCCCUGUGCAAGGACAACACACAAACUCAAAUAUUCCAUAUUUUUAUAGUAUGCUACCAUUUACCUCAGAAGGUAGGGUGGGGAGAUGGUGAUGGAUGUUAAUGCAUCUAAGAAGUGGAAGGAAUUACAAAUGUAUUUCCUAUGUUGAAAAACUAGAAGGUUUUUCAACCAUCAACGGAUGGUUACCCGUGGGAAGAGAAAUAGGUUGGAGGGAAUAAGAAUAGAAGCUAGACUUCUUUGAAUUAUACUUUGCUUUGUAGAUUUGAUUUUGGAAGCAUGCAAACCAUUUAUGAAAGUAAAUGUUUAAAAAAUCCCCCCAAAUUGAAAGUAAAUGAAACAAAUGAAUUUAACUGCAUCUAAUUGGUAUCAUAACUACACAGGGUAAAUACAGAGAGUUUCUAUAGAUGAAUAAAAAGCUCCU
Zalophus californianus (California sea lion) is the source of this 2396-nucleotide long non-coding RNA. RefSeq lists it as uncharacterized. The transcript has 4 exons. The record is from RefSeq and is a predicted model, not a curated record. Lineage: Eukaryota; Metazoa; Chordata; Mammalia; Carnivora; Otariidae.